UUUAAAUGUUUUUAAAUUUGCCCGCUUUUCUGAAUCGGAGCUCGCCGGCGUUGUCGUGCUUCGUCGUCGGAGAAGAAGAAGAGGGAGGAUGCGCGCGCAGGAUAACUGUUUGAAUGUAGUAGCCGCCAUCUAGGUCCAAUGCCGACGUGGAUAAGCUAUGGGUCCCGCCCGGCUCCACCUAAUCCUGAUACAUAUUGUGCUUAAGGGCCAUGUCGUGCCUGCGCUAUUUGUGCGCACAGAGGUGUCGCAGCAGAGCCAUUCU
This 262-nucleotide long non-coding RNA is filed under the name Hordeum vulgare. RNAcentral describes it as "long non-coding RNA (HVUL_LNC009667)". The record is from RNAcentral. Lineage: Eukaryota; Viridiplantae; Streptophyta; Magnoliopsida; Poales; Poaceae.